CUCAGUGGUAGAAUACCUUCCUGGCAUGCACAAGGCCCUGGGUUCAAUCCCCAACACUAAAAAAACAGAUUGCAGAGGAGUUCUCAGGACUUCCAUCCUUAUAGUACAGGCUGAAUAGUAGUGUAUUUCUCCUAAAUAA
RNAcentral lists this small nucleolar RNA (139 nucleotides) under Jaculus jaculus (lesser Egyptian jerboa). RNAcentral's name for it is "Small nucleolar RNA U109 (ENSJJAG00000007540.1)". The stretch from base 38 to 139 matches the Rfam family "Small nucleolar RNA U109". The record is from RNAcentral. Lineage: Eukaryota; Metazoa; Chordata; Mammalia; Rodentia; Dipodidae.